Molecule: ribosomal RNA, 253 nt
Filed under: uncultured bacterium
Lineage: Bacteria
Description: partial 16S ribosomal RNA
Rfam family: Bacterial small subunit ribosomal RNA
Source: RNAcentral
UACGAAGGGGGCUAGCGUUGUUCGGAAUCACUGGGCGUAAAGCGCACGUAGGCGGACCUGCAAGUCGGGGGUGAAAGCCCGAGGCUCAACCUCGGAACUGCCUUCGAUACUGCGGGUCUCGAGUCCGGGAGAGGUGAGUGGAAUUCCUAGUGUAGAGGUGAAAUUCGUAGAUAUUAGGAAGAACACCAGUGGCGAAGGCGGCUCACUGGCCCGGUACUGACGCUGAGGCGCGAAAGCGUGGGGAGCGAACAGG